RNAcentral lists this ribosomal RNA (307 nucleotides) under uncultured bacterium. RNAcentral describes it as "partial 16S ribosomal RNA". It matches the Rfam family "Bacterial small subunit ribosomal RNA", at positions 506 to 807 of the family's 1533-position model. The record is from RNAcentral.
AGACAGCAGCAGCCGCGGUAACACGAAGGGUGCAAGCGUUACUCGGAAUUACUGGGCGUAAAGCGUGCGUAGGUGGUGGUUUAAGUCCGUUGUGAAAGCCCUGGGCUCAACCUGGGAAUUGCAGUGGAUACUGGGUCACUAGAGUGUGGUAGAGGAUAGUGGAAUUUCCGGUGUAGCAGUGAAAUGCGUAGAGAUCGGAAGGAACAUCUGUGGCGAAGGCGACCACCUGGACUAAUACUGACACUGAGGUGCGAAAGCGUGGGGAGCAAACAGGAUUAGAUACCCCCGUAGUCCCUGUCUCUUAUAC